AUCUACCAUUGCCUGAUAUUAUAUUUCCUACAUUAAAUGGCAAAUUAGUCGAACAAGAGACAUUAGAAACUGCAGAUGAAUUCAAGGAUCACUUUGCUGAUAUAGAAUUAGAUGACGAAUUCGCAGAUGAUGAUUAUAAUGAAUCUGAAUAUGAUGAUGAAAA
Long non-coding RNA from Ctenocephalides felis (cat flea), 163 nucleotides. RefSeq lists it as uncharacterized. The transcript has 2 exons. Lineage: Eukaryota; Metazoa; Arthropoda; Insecta; Siphonaptera; Pulicidae. The record is from RefSeq and is a predicted model, not a curated record.